Molecule: transfer RNA, 94 nt
Filed under: Bacillota bacterium
Lineage: Bacteria; Bacillati; Bacillota
Description: Firmicutes bacterium (anaerobic digester metagenome) tRNA-Ser
Rfam family: tRNA
About the family: Transfer RNA (tRNA) molecules are approximately 80 nucleotides in length. Their secondary structure includes four short double-helical elements and three loops (D, anti-codon, and T loops).
Source: RNAcentral
GGAGAGGUGGCCGAGUAGGUCGAAGGCGGCCGCCUGCUAAGCGGUUACACGACUAAACAUCGUGUCGCGGGUUCGAAUCCCGCCCUCUCCGCCA